RNAcentral lists this unclassified non-coding RNA (330 nucleotides) under soil metagenome. RNAcentral describes it as "partial contains 5.8S ribosomal RNA, internal transcribed spacer 2, and large subunit ribosomal RNA". The stretch from base 1 to 120 matches the Rfam family "5.8S ribosomal RNA", at positions 35 to 154 of the family's 154-position model. The record is from RNAcentral.
GAUGAAGAACGUAGCGAAAUGCGAUAAGUAAUGUGAAUUGCAGAAUUCAGUGAAUCAUCGAAUCUUUGAACGCACAUUGCGCCCCCUGGUAUUCCGGGGGGCAUGCCUGUUCGAGCGUCAUUUCACCACUAAGCCUCGCUUGGUAUUGGGCAACGCGGUCCGCCGCGUGCCUCAAAUCGACCGGCUGGGUCUUCUGUCCCCUAAGCGUUGUGGAAACUAUUCGCUAAAGGGUGUUCGGGAGGCUACGCCGUAAAACAACCCCAUUUCUAAGGUUGACCUCGGAUCAGGUAGGGAUACCCGCUGAACUUAAGCAUAUCAAUAAGCGGAGGA